Molecule: long non-coding RNA, 264 nt
Filed under: Ananas comosus (pineapple)
Lineage: Eukaryota; Viridiplantae; Streptophyta; Magnoliopsida; Poales; Bromeliaceae
Description: long non-coding RNA (ACOM_LNC005896)
Source: RNAcentral
CAAGAUAACACCCCUACACAAUUAUCGCCGAAUAAUUGUGCGAAUUCGGGUUCCCGAAAGUGUCUAUUUCGACACUGGAACCCACCGUCGCUCACCCAUCAUCACCGAACCCACAAUGUGAUGAUGGUGACCCGCCAACAAGGCUUAGCGACUACUCACAGGGCAACACAACAACGUCGGAAGAAAUCCGAACCGAAACCACGUUCUUUCGGCGAAUUUCGUCGAAAAACGCGCCGGAAUCGACUUUUCGAUUUCCGCGAAAGC